RNAcentral lists this non-coding RNA (198 nucleotides) under Tatumella ptyseos. Its description in RNAcentral is "Lysine sequence". It matches the Rfam family "Lysine riboswitch aptamer". From Rfam's summary of the family: Riboswitches are metabolite binding domains within certain messenger RNAs that serve as precision sensors for their corresponding targets. Allosteric rearrangement of mRNA structure is mediated by ligand binding, and this results in modulation of gene expression. RNAcentral also lists the same sequence under 1 other name. Lineage: Bacteria; Pseudomonadati; Pseudomonadota; Gammaproteobacteria; Enterobacterales; Erwiniaceae. The record is from RNAcentral.
UAGACCAGAAGAGGCGCGCCGCCCAGGCAGUAUGUCAGAGGAUCCGUAUCCGGUGACGGCAUAUCAGGGGGAGCGGCGCCGAGGCAACAAACAUGCGGAGUGUUUGUUAUGCCGACCACAGGGGCUGAAUCCUCUGGGUUGUCACCGUAGCGUAGCGUUCGUGAUGAAUGUUUCACAAGGUGGGGCGCUUCUGGCUGA